Molecule: unclassified non-coding RNA, 2257 nt
Filed under: Leishmania donovani
Lineage: Eukaryota; Euglenozoa; Kinetoplastea; Trypanosomatida; Trypanosomatidae
Description: gene:LdHU3.13.1570(CDS-product:Beta-lactamase_sup erfamily_domain_containing_protein_putative)
Source: RNAcentral
AAGACUGCAAAACGCGCACACGAAAAACGUACUCCCCUCACCAUUGCGAAGUCGUUUUCUUCGCGACCCCCUUUCAGUUUCCUGCAUCUCGCAUCUCGGCCUUGGUGUGCACAUACACACUCCGGUACCAGGCCACGUCAAGACUCGUACACAUAUGGGUGCGCUUGCCAAUGCCGGAGUCCGUGCAGCCAAAGCCAGGCUUUGAAUACCCGAAGCGCGCGGCGAUCGGUUCGUACUGGUCGAACCGCAACAGAGACGGGAAGCACUUCAAGAACCUCGGUCUUGCAUCGUCGUCUAGCGCGUCGGCCGGGAAAGUGAUGCAAUGGAUGCUGUCCCACUCGUGCAACGGCGUCCCAAAGCCGAAAGGAGGCUAUGACGCGUUCGGCAAGAUCUGGUACGCGCCGUGCAACAUGGCCGAGUCAGUGGCGCAGUGGCGGGCGAGUAUGAGUAACGACGAAGCGCAGCCAGCCAAGAACCGGGUGUACUGGAUCGGUCACUCGAGUCAGCUGCUGUGCCUCUCCAAUGGCGUCAACGUCCUCUUCGACCCCAUCUUCUCGCAGCGUGCCUCGCCACUGUCGUUUGCCGGGCCGUCGCGCCGGUUCCCGCCGGCCGCCACGGCAGCGCAGCUCCCACCGAUCCACAUUGUCACGGUCUCGCACAACCACUAUGACCACAUGGACAAGCACAGCAUCAAGGCCGUUGCGGUCCGCUUCCCCGAUGCCCAGUUCGUGGUGCCGCUGAAGCUGGACCGCUUCCUCAGAGAGUGGGGUGUGCCGGCCGCGUCUAUCACCACGCUUGACUGGUACGAGGCGUGCGAGGUGAAAGGGGUCCGGGUGGGUUGCACGCCGGCUCAGCACUGGGGAAAGCACAGCGCCUUCGACGAUAAUGAGGUGCUAUGGUGCGGCUGGUGUGUCGGCUGGCAGCCAGGCCAGCAGCAGCAUCAGCAGAAGCCCGCGUCUACGUGCGAGAAGCCCACCCUCAUCUCCUCCAGCGGCAUCGAGUCUAGCUCCGAGGUGCUGGUCGAGGCACAGCGGACGUGGAACCGGUACAAGAAGUACUUCUUCGCUGGCGACACGGCGUACAACCCGGAUGUCUCGACGAGCAUCUACGCUCACUUCGGCCCGAUGGAUAUGGCCGCGCUCCCGAUCGGCGCGUAUUCACCGCGGUGGUUCAUGGCGCGCGCCCACAUCGACCCAGAGCACGCGGUGCAGAUCUUUCAGGACCAGCACAUCCAGCAGGCCGUGGCGGUGCACUGGGGUACCUUUGAGCUCGCCGACGAGCCGCUCGAUGAGCCGCCGCAGGUCCUGCGCAAGACCUUAAAGGACGCCAGUAUCGAUGAGAGCAGGUUCCAAAUUAUUCCCAUGGGCAAGUUCAUCGAGUUCUAGUUCGUUCCAACGUGCGCCACCGCGGAGCGCCCAAUGAUGCACCCGAAUGCCCGUCUUCUCCCCUCGGCCCCUUGACAAGCGGCCCUUCUUCCACCCUACCCCUGCGCCGGCGUUGUCGUUCGACGCCUCUGUUGCAGCAUCGCUCCGCCACCCACCACCACCACGACCUAUGGCUGCAGAUCCUUGCAUUUUUUUUCAUCCUUCACGACGAUGCCGGCGACCUCAGCGCGUGUGGCAUCCGGGUCCAGUACCCACGCUCUGCGCGGAGUCCGCCCUCGGCUACGGCUGCGGGCUCUUGGCGCCGGCGGGCAGGUGUCUGCCGGAGCGGUGCCGUGGAGGCGUGCGGCCAUGACCACGCCUCGACCAGCUCUCUACGGAUCGCGCCGGUUCCUUGGCGGUAUCAGCCCACUAUUUUUCUUCGCGAUGCGUUCAUGCGAAGAGCGAUCCACGGGCCUGACCUGUGCUGGGUCGAACGACGCCAAACGGUGUUGCUUGGCCCGAUUCCUUCAUACAGCCCCGGCGCCACAUACCACCAGGGGGGUGAGCUAAGAUUGUUUAUGCGUCCGUUGGUUCGUGGAAGAGUGAACACGUUGAAAAAAAAAAAACAAAGACACCCAUUCGUCGCCACCCACCGCGCAGUGCGACGCCGCUCGGCGAGCCGGGAUAAAAAAACGAAACAUUUCCGCUCUGCCCGUGGGGCCUUCCCACGGCCUUCCUGCUUCUUCUCCAUGUGCCCCGCCCCCCCCCUUUCUGUUGGCUGCCCCUCCCGCCCUCGCCACCGCCGAGGAACCCCUAAAGGCGGGGCCAAGCCCGCCCCUCCUGGCUGGGCACCGCGCACGGCGGCCGCCCCCACACCGAAAUACCGCAAAACG